GAUUAACGCUGGCGGCGUGCAUGAAACAUGCAAGUCGAGCGCGGUGCGAAGCGGGGUAACUUGCUUCGCAUCUAGCGGCGAACGGGUGAGUAACACGUGAGCAACCUACCUUCGAGUCGGGGAUAGCCCUGGGAAACCAGGAUUAAUACCCGAUGUGGUCACGACGAGACAUCUCGUUGUGAGUAAAGGCGCAAGCCGCUCGAUGACGGGCUCGCGGCCUAUUAGCUUGUUGGUGGGGUAACGGCCUACCAAGGCAGUGAUGGGUAGCUG
This 270-nucleotide ribosomal RNA is filed under the name uncultured bacterium. RNAcentral describes it as "partial 16S ribosomal RNA". It matches the Rfam family "Bacterial small subunit ribosomal RNA", at positions 28 to 289 of the family's 1533-position model. The record is from RNAcentral.